CCUCUCCCCGCAUGCCGCGUGCGCGUCGCGCCAUUUGCGGGGGCGUGGGUAACCCUGCCGUCGAAAGCCUCUCGGCCCAAUCCAAUCGCCCGCACUCCACAACCCUCCCUCCCUCCUCGAUCUCUCUCCCUCAGCCACCACAAACCCUAGGUCCUCCCCUUCUGCCCUGCUAUCCACCGCGCCGCCUCCUCCUCCCCUUCACCAUUCCCUCUAGCGGCAGGCACAGGGAGACGACGGCGGCGCUCGAUUUGAUCCGCCCCGCUCCCCUCCCUCUCCACUAUGCCUCGGCCUCGGCCGCCCCGUGCUCUGCCGGCGCCCGUCGGCCUCGAUCCGGCCUCGGCAGGAGGAGCUCGCCCUCGAGACAGGAGGAGGGGAGCAGCAGGAUACAGGAGCAUGGCCUUCUUCUCGCGCUGCAGCCGCCGGCCUUGUCCUGCUCGAGGAGGAGGAGGAGCAGGAGGGGCGCACCCAGCCACCAAGGUAGCCGUCGUCGAGGGCUUCUUACACCUGAACCUCGAUCUCCACGGUGCUGGCGUCCAGCAACUCGAGUUCAAGGGAAGGAGAGGAUGAUGACGCCCAGACAUGGAGAGGAACAACAGCAGCUCAAGAUGCUAAUGUGGCUGCCAUAUCUGUGCCAAGCAGUGCCUGCUUAUAAUGUGGUGAAGCUACAGGAAAGAGGGAGGAAGCCGGCGACAGGGUGAAGGAGCAGGCCGGCCCUCAUGGAGGCAGCGCUACCAGCCAGCUAGGGAGGCGGUCCGGCUCGCCUCUGCUAUGCCGUGAGCGGCGGCGCUACCUCUGCCUCCAGCCUCACCUCCUCUGCCAACCAUGGGAAAAUUUAGGGGAGACCCAAGGCGAGCUUCCCCUCUGUUGCAUGCACUCCUGAUCUCUAAAGAUUUCUGUAGCCUAAAUGCCUAUGUACCAUGUAAGCAAGCCUAACCUAAUGCACACCAUCAGCUUGAUGAAUUACCAAAUGGUUUGUUUUUGUUGCCAUAUAGACCGUUGACGGGUGUGCAAGAGCCCUUCUAAUUGGUGCUCUAUGUGUGUUUUCUUUUCUUUUGUUGCAGAAUAGUAAUUCAAGCGGAUGGCCAAUGCGCCUUGGUGUUUAGCGGUAUGAUGGUCGGUGAAAGUAUGUUAUAUAUAUAUUGCAAGGAUCGUAAGAUGCUUUUACACAUGAUUGUGUGAUGCUCAGAGACAUUUUGCACAGUAGAAACUUCUUGUGAAGCUUGAUUUUAUUCAGAGCCAUAUGAUUUUUUUAUAGAAACAUGUGCAGAGUAAAAUGGACACAUCUUCUGGUACAUCUGAGCACCGACGACCACAAUGGGAUGGAUCAAACAGCCAAGACGCAGAGUGUGGUCGGGCAGCGCCAUGGGGCAGAUCUGUGCGGCGCAAGGGGCGGCAGAUGCGAAACUGAAGCUUCCCCGAACUUCGGAGCAGUCAAUCGAGCAGAUGGACACGACGCGAACCCAGAAGGGGGAGGCUCCUGAAUAAUUCAUAAGUCAGCAGCUGAAUAAUUGGAAGAAUCAUUUUGUACACACAAGAUAGUACUGACAACAUAAUGCUCAGUCAUUUUUGAAUUAGGUUCAGAUAGAGUGAGGAUUGGUGCUACCGCCCCUGGUAGGAGCCCAAUGUCCUAAUCGAACUACUGUCAUGGAGAGGGCAAUACGUGGAUUCGCUUCAGAUAUUGGAGAUAACGCCAUUGUGCCGAAGCUCGGAACAAUCUUCGAUACAUUAGGUGAAGCAUACGAUUUUUACAAUCUGUAUUUAUGGGAGAAAGGAUUUGGCAUUCGAUAUGGUAAAAGCUGUCUGAAUGUCGAGAGGACGUGGAAAUCUAUUGUGGAUAAUACUGGUCUUGCCGGCGUUAGUGCCCUACUCUGAUAAGGCUGCUGCAGUCUGAACCAUUCAUUGUAUCGCACGUAUGUGCAGACGAACACUGACGAUCGCACAAGCACAUCAACGUGUACAGCAGGGAUUUGAUGAAGAAUUUGAGGCAGAACAAUGUGAACCUUGCUAAAGUGCACAACAUUAGGCAGUUUCCUUGGGUCGAUGGAGAAUGUGCCUUUCACAAAAAGAGCUUCAAGGAGCUUGUGUGGCAAAAUAAGCCGCGAGCAACCGGCUGAUGAUGUUAGUUAAACGAUGGAGGUGUUUGCGGAGCUUGGUUCAAAGGAUCCUCACUUCACAUAUCAUGUGCAGGCCGAUAAGGAGGGAAGGAUAAACGCACUCAUGUGGGCAAAUGGGGACAGUAGGCUGGUGCAAAAAAGACUGUAGCUUAUUCUCAAAUUUUCUGUCUCUAAUACUGAAUUUGGUGUGUACCGAUAAAUCAUGUAGCGUGUGAGAUCCAUCGUGCAGUUUAACUGCUAAUCCCAAUUAUGUUAUGCAUGCCCUGAAGCUGAUGAAUUUGUGUUCUCCUAUACUGAAAUGUCAAAUUGAUUGUGUGUA
Molecule: long non-coding RNA, 2433 nt
Organism: Triticum dicoccoides
Lineage: Eukaryota; Viridiplantae; Streptophyta; Magnoliopsida; Poales; Poaceae
Exons: 9
Source: RefSeq, a predicted model, not a curated record